Long non-coding RNA from Harmonia axyridis, 484 nucleotides. RefSeq lists it as uncharacterized. NCBI's taxonomy places the organism in Eukaryota, Metazoa, Arthropoda, Insecta, Coleoptera, Coccinellidae. The transcript has 3 exons. The record is from RefSeq and is a predicted model, not a curated record.
UACAAUUAUUUUAGGUUAUGGCGCGAAAUACAAGUUCUGAAGUUUGUCAUUUGUCUCUGUUGAGUACUUGGCUGCUAUGAACUGAUCGUUGGCAUUGGCAUAGAACAUUUAUUUAUUAGUCGUUAGUAAUUCGCUAGUUCAUUUCUCAAAAUGCCUGUUAUAUGCAAAUUUUGUCAAAAAGUCUUCAGCAAUCAAUCUAACCACAAUCGACAUAUUAACGAAGUGCAUAAUGUAGUUGCAGAGCUUAAACAUUUACCCUAAUAUCUUAUGAAAGGAAUACUGUUUGGAGUAGCCAUUGUCUGGAACCAAACUGCAAUAGAUCGUUUUCUAACAACAAAAAUCUAAUGCAACAUUUACAUAAUGACCACUCAAUGAACUUAGUGACAGAGUCUUAUAUAUUCAAGAAUACUAAUGAUUUUGAGAACUGGAAGACAAACAUUGAAGUUACCAAUGGUUGUUAUAUUCUAAAAAGUAAAUAUGCUAG